GCAGAACUGAGUCAUAUGUGUGGAGGGACAGUAACUGUCUGUGUAUAUCUCUGCCCAUUCACUCCCUCUGCACUUUCUGCUGUUCUCAGUCAAAGUUUGGCAACAUGAAGGGAGACACAUCACCGGUCUGACAACAAAUACUAUCUUCAAGUUUAAAGGUUAUUACUUUAAACAUGAGAACAAAAUGUGGGAAACACUCUUACUCUGGGCAGUUCUUUGCAUUGUGUCAUGCUGUUGGAGUCCUGCUGCCAUGUAGGGGUGUGCUUGGUCUGGUUGCAUGAAUCAGCUGCAGAAUCCUAUUAGUGUAUGUCACCAAUAAAAAUCAGUAGGCAGAGGAUAUAGUCAAUGGCCGCUCCCUCAUUAGGAGAUGCCCACCAGCAGGCCUCGGGGCAGAUCAAAAGGGCUGGUCUGAAUAUCGCCUUCAGGAAUAAAG
This is a long non-coding RNA of Oreochromis aureus, 433 nucleotides long. RefSeq lists it as uncharacterized. The record is from RefSeq and is a predicted model, not a curated record. The transcript has 4 exons. Lineage: Eukaryota; Metazoa; Chordata; Actinopteri; Cichliformes; Cichlidae.